AUAUUGGGCAAUGGAGGCAACUCUGACCCAGCAACGCCGCGUGAGCGGUGAAGGUCUUCGGAUUGUAAAGCUCUUUAAGUGGGGACGANNAAAGUUACUGUACCCACAGAAUAAGCCUCGGCUAACUACGUGCUAGCAGCCGCGGUAAUACGUAGGAGGCAAGCGUUAUCCGGAAUGACUGGGCGUAAAGGGUGCGUAGGUGGUUUGACAAGUUGGUAGCGUAACUCCGGGGCUCAACCUCGGAUCUACUACCAAAACUGUUGGGCUUGAGUGCAGGAGGGGUGAAUGGAAUUCCUAGUGUAGCGGUGGAAUGCGUAGAUAUUAGGAGGAACACCAGCGGCGAAGGCGAUUCACUGGACUGUAACUGACACUGAGGCACGAAAGCGUGGGGAGCAAACAGG
This 401-nucleotide ribosomal RNA is filed under the name uncultured bacterium. RNAcentral describes it as "bacterial SSU rRNA". It matches the Rfam family "Bacterial small subunit ribosomal RNA", at positions 361 to 776 of the family's 1533-position model. The record is from RNAcentral.